Nothobranchius furzeri (turquoise killifish) is the source of this 1211-nucleotide long non-coding RNA. RefSeq lists it as uncharacterized. Lineage: Eukaryota; Metazoa; Chordata; Actinopteri; Cyprinodontiformes; Nothobranchiidae. The record is from RefSeq and is a predicted model, not a curated record.
GUGUGUGUGUGUGCGCGCGCGCGUGGUUCGUUCUUUCGUGUCUCCAGGCUAGUAAGUACUGAGGGCUUCAUCUAUCUAAAAGGAGUCAUUUCCAUCUGAAUGUGGCAGCGACGGGACACAGCAGCAGAGCGAGUCAACAUCCAGAAGGCUGGAGCCGUGUUUCACUGACAGGCUGUCAGACUAAUGCCCUGAUGAGCUCAGCUGGGACAAACUGGUCUGAUGUUUAGGAACACAGAACGUUCAGAUGUUGGAGCUUCAUGUCACCUACUGAGGAAGGAGACCCACCAGUAAAGAGACGGUCUGGACCAGACCAAAAAUAUGGCGAUGACAUCAUGGAACUGGUCUCUGGAAAAGUUUUCCCUGAACCAACUCCGUUUCUAGAUGAGGUAGAGAAGAUCUGCAUCUCACCAACCCUCUGGUCUCAGUGUUCAGACAACGGAGGUCUCCCACUGUUAUCCAGGACCAGUUUGAAGCCCACAUACUGCCCCUCCCUCAUCAUCAGGAAACAUCAGUUCCUAUCCUGAGGACAACAGAAGACGGCAGGAGGACAGGAACUCUGAGACCUAGAUACCACCAGCACCGGGACACAAAGCACCUGUGUGCACAACGCCCUGUUUAACUACUAAAACCUGUUUAUUAUAUUGUUCUACUUAUUUGCUGUGAGGUUAUUACUUAGAAAAUUUGUAUAUUAAUGUAAACAAUUAAAAAAAUCACUGAUUGUAUGUUUUCUUUUAGAUGUAAUGGUCCAAACUCAGCCUUGUAGACAUUUAUUGCAUCCUGUAGGUAAAUACACAGAACAGGCUCAGGUCCAGGAUGACCCAGCAUGCUCUUCUUCCAUUCUGGCUGUUAGGGAUUGUAUCAAUAACUCAAUGCCUACUGAUGUUUUCACCUAACGGUAUUUAUUUAGAAUGCAGGUAAGAUUUAACUAUAUUUGUUAGCAAAGCAGACUGAUCUUGGGAAUUUCACUGCAGCACUGAUGUCCACCUCUCUGUACACAUUAGAGAGAAUUACCACGUUACAGCUAAAUGCAUAUUUAAUAAAGAUAUAGGCUACACAUUGCAGACAAUAAAAACAAAGUUGUAAGCAUUAGAAUUAUAAUGAUCACAUUAAAGAACAUUUGGAGGAAUGUUCUUUAUUUUUGACUAGAAUCUCAAAUCUUUAAAUUAAAAUGUAACUGCUUUUUAUCCAUUUUCAGCCAUUAAGACACCCAA